This 152-nucleotide small RNA is filed under the name Arabidopsis thaliana (thale cress). RNAcentral describes it as "ATSL145090". The record is from RNAcentral. Lineage: Eukaryota; Viridiplantae; Streptophyta; Magnoliopsida; Brassicales; Brassicaceae.
AUUAAUCAAAUUAGUAUUUGACUUUUUAAUUCUUAAAAAGAUAAAUUAAUUUACUCUUUAAAAUUUUAUUUCUAAUGGCAUACCUAUGUAAUUACUUACAAAAAUUAAGGUUAUAUUUAAAAUGUACUUCCCAAAUAAUAUAGUAGGAUAUU